RNAcentral lists this ribosomal RNA (30 nucleotides) under Fusarium solani. Its description in RNAcentral is "partial 18S ribosomal RNA". The record is from RNAcentral. Lineage: Eukaryota; Fungi; Ascomycota; Sordariomycetes; Hypocreales; Nectriaceae.
GGACAGCGGAAGGACAUUACCGAGUUAUAC